Molecule: long non-coding RNA, 1149 nt
Organism: Jatropha curcas
Lineage: Eukaryota; Viridiplantae; Streptophyta; Magnoliopsida; Malpighiales; Euphorbiaceae
Source: RefSeq, a predicted model, not a curated record
UUAUUUAUUGUACUCUGACAUUGCAUUCAUCCAUUUUUUUUUUUGUUUUCAAAGUAACAGGUGUAGAAUACUAUAUCUGCACUUCUGUUUUACUAAUCACUUUGAUAUUGCCAUAAUUUGCGUUUUGGGACCGAGUGAUGAGCAUAUAAAGGGCAAAUUUGGGAGUUCACGACUCAAUCCAGUGGGUCGGUGGGUGGCAGGCAUGAAGUGACACUUUUUAACCCCCGACGACUAUCACAUGAGCUAAAAUAAAGCCCACAUAUGUACAUUCAAUAUUCUGGUGAGACAUGUUAGCUCUAGGAACUUGAUUGGUUUUUUAAAAAGUUCAGGCAUUUAAUCAAAAAGAUUUUUUUUUUUUUGGGCUGGAUGUUUGGUUGUAUGAUGUCCCUAUUUCCUUUGUCUUCCCUCGUCUAUUUCGACUAUCAGUUAACAAAAGGUUAAAAGUCUCUGAUUACGAUUUGUCUGUGAAUGGUAAUUGGAGUUGGGAAUUAGCAUGGUUCCGGAAUCUUAAAUCUUUUGAAGAAGAUUUUUGGAAUCAGUUAAAAGCAAAACUUGUUGAGAUAUUUCGGUGUUCCGAAAUGGUAACGACAGAUUCAUUCGGCGUUUUUGACAAAAAAGGUUUUGAAAUUGUCCACCCGAAGGUGUUCUGAAGUUUAAUGUUGAUGGGACUGCGAGAGGAAAACUAGGUUCUGCUGGUAUAGGUGGGGUUUUGAGAAAUUAUUUUGGCUUGGUUAGUUGUGUUUUCUAUCAAUCGGUGAGAAUUUUAGACUAUAAUGAGGCUGAAUUAUUGGCAAUUUUGAAGGCAAUUGAGUUAUUUCAGUCUAGCUAUAAUUAUCUACCUUUAAUUAUUGAAUCAAACUCCAAAAAAUGCCAUUUUGUGGGCUUCUCAGAUAGAUAAAUGACCUUAGCAACGGUGAGUUCGUUUUAAUAAGCUUGAUUCUUCAUUAUCUUCUUUGUUCAAAGUGGAUUUUAAACAUGUAAACAGAGAAUGCAAUUAAUUUGCAGAUUGUUUAGCUAAAAAGAGUGUUGAUGCUGUAAAACCUUUUGUGGCUUGGGUUUAAGUUUAUAGCUUUAGUGCUCUUCGUGUCAAAUGUUGAUCUAGUUGUUUUUAUUCUUAUUUCAAGAAGAAACACUAUAAUUUAUGCUUUU